CCCUUAGACGUUCUGGGCCGCACGCGCGCUACACUGACCAGUGCAACAAGCAUCCGUCCUUGGCCGACAGGCCCGGGCAAUCUUUGAACGCUGGUCGUGAUGGGGAUAGACUUUUGCAAUUUUUGGACUUCAACGAGGAAUUCCUAGUAAACGCAAGUCAUCAACUUGCAUUGAUUACGUCCCUGCCCUUUGUACACACCGCCCGUCGCACCUACCGAUUGAAUGGUCCGGUGAAGCCUCCGGAUUGGCGCGCACCUCGGUGCCGCCGAGAAGUUGGCUAAACCUUACCAUUUAGAGGAAGGUGAAGUCGUAACA
This 315-nucleotide ribosomal RNA is filed under the name uncultured eukaryote. Its description in RNAcentral is "partial 18S ribosomal RNA". It matches the Rfam family "Eukaryotic small subunit ribosomal RNA", at positions 1470 to 1796 of the family's 1831-position model. The record is from RNAcentral.